ACAUUUCUAGCUUGCUAGAAGAUGACGAGCGGCGGACAGGUGAGUAAUGCUUGGGAAUAUGCCUUAGGGUGGGGGACAACAGUUGGAAACGACUGCUAAUACCGCAUAACGUCUACGGACCAAAGGGGGCUUCGGCUCUCGCCCUUAGAUUAGCCCAAGUGGGAUUAGCUAGUUGGUGAGGUAAUGGCUCACCAAGGCGACGAUCCCUAGCUGGUUUGAGAGGAUGAUCAGCCACACUGGAACUGAGACACGGUCCAGACUCCUACGGGAGGCAGCAGUGGGGAAUAUUGCACAAUGGGCGCAAGCCUGAUGCAGCCAUGCCGCGUGUGUGAAGAAGGCCUUAGGGUUGUAAAGCACUUUCAGUAAGGAGGAAAGGUUAGUAGUUAAUACCUGCUAGCUGUGACGUUACUUACAGAAGAAGCACCGGCUAACUCCGUGCCAGCAGCCGCGGUAAUACGGAGGGUGCGAGCGUUAAUCGGAAUUACUGGGCGUAAAGCGUACGCGGGCGGUUUGUUAAGCGAGAUGUGAAAGCCCCGGGCUCAACCUGGGAACUGCAUUUCGAACUGGCAAA
RNAcentral lists this ribosomal RNA (571 nucleotides) under uncultured bacterium. Its description in RNAcentral is "bacterial SSU rRNA". It matches the Rfam family "Bacterial small subunit ribosomal RNA", at positions 69 to 640 of the family's 1533-position model. The record is from RNAcentral.